UGGGGAAUUUUGGACAAUGGGCGAAAGCCUGAUCCAGCAAUGCCGCGUGUGUGAAGAAGGCCUUCGGGUUGUAAAGCACUUUUGUCCGGAAAGAAAUCCUUGGCUCUAAUACAGUCGGGGGAUGACGGUACCGGAAGAAUAAGCACCGGCUAACUACGUGCCAGCAGCCGCGGUAAUACGUAGGGUGCAAGCGUUAAUCGGAAUUACUGGGCGUAAAGCGUGCGCAGGCGGUUUGCUAAGACCGAUGUGAAAUCCCCGGGCUCAACCUGGGAACUGCAUUGGUGACUGGCAGGCUAGAGUAUGGCAGAGGGGGGUAGAAUUCCACGUGUAGCAGUGAAAUGCGUAGAGAUGUGGAGGAAUACCGAUGGCGAAGGCAGCCCCCUGGGCCAAUACUGACGCUCAUGCACGAAAGCGUGGGGAGCAAACAGGAUUAGAUACCCUGGUAGUCCACGCCCUAAACGAUGUCAACUAGUUGUGGGAUUCAUUCCUUAGUAACGUAGCUAACGCGUGAAGUUGACCGCCUGGGGAGUACGGUCGCAAGAUUAAAACUCAAAUGAAUUGACGGGGU
This 568-nucleotide ribosomal RNA is filed under the name uncultured bacterium. Its description in RNAcentral is "partial 16S ribosomal RNA". It matches the Rfam family "Bacterial small subunit ribosomal RNA", at positions 355 to 919 of the family's 1533-position model. The record is from RNAcentral.